Long non-coding RNA from Pantherophis guttatus, 412 nucleotides. RefSeq lists it as uncharacterized. The record is from RefSeq and is a predicted model, not a curated record. NCBI's taxonomy places the organism in Eukaryota, Metazoa, Chordata, Lepidosauria, Squamata, Colubridae.
GGCUUUAGGACUUCAUCCCUGCAGGCUAAAGUGUCAGUUACUGUCAGUUAUCAGUUAUCAGAGAGAAGAUGCCUUUUUAGAGAUGCUUUGUUUCUUCACUGAAGUGGCUGUCGUCCAUUACUGUAGCUCUGAAGUUUUGAAUUCCUGCUGCCUUUUGGUGCAAGGAUAAGACUAUAAUGAGGAAAGACAAGACAAUUCCUUCCUGGAUACCAUAUCAUACUGAAUGAUCUUCUGAAAGGAGAGGGGCGGGUGCUAACUUCCUACAUAUGUUUGGAAACCAAUGAACAGAAGGAGCACCUAAGUCAUUGCUAUCUGGAAGAUGGUUGUCAUCUUAGCCUUUUUUUGUGGCACCAAGAUUAAGGAACAUCAGGUGCACUGCAAGUCAAGAUCUCUAUGAAAAUUAGAAGACUGC